RNAcentral lists this ribosomal RNA (393 nucleotides) under uncultured bacterium. RNAcentral describes it as "partial 16S ribosomal RNA". It matches the Rfam family "Bacterial small subunit ribosomal RNA", at positions 523 to 918 of the family's 1533-position model. The record is from RNAcentral.
AUACGGAGGAUCCGAGCGUUAUCCGGAUUUAUUGGGUUUAAAGGGAGCGUAGGUGGACAUGUAAGUCAGUUGUGAAAGUUUGCGGCUCAACCGUAAAAUUGCAGUUGAUACUGUGUGUCUUGAGUACAGUAGAGGUGGGCGGAAUUCGUGGUGUAGCGGUGAAAUGCUUAGAUAUCACGAAGAACUCCGAUUGCGAAGGCAGCUCACUGGACUGUUACUGACACUGAGGCUCGAAAGUGUGGGUAUCAAACAGGAUUAGAUACCCUGGUAGUCCACACAGUAAACGAUGAAUACUCGCUGUUUGCGAUAUACGGCAAGCGGCCAAGCGAAAGCAUUAAGUAUUCCACCUGGGGAGUACGCCAGCAACGGUGAAACUUAAAGGAAUUGACGGGG